Molecule: small nucleolar RNA, 132 nt
Organism: Tupaia belangeri (northern tree shrew)
Lineage: Eukaryota; Metazoa; Chordata; Mammalia; Scandentia; Tupaiidae
Source: Ensembl
UUCCAAAGUGUUGAGUUCAGUUCAGGGCAGCUUCCCUGUUCUGUUAAUUAAACUUUGGGACAUUGAAAUGGGCUAGGGGAGGUGACUGGAUAGAAAGUAUUAUUCUGUUCAUUUACCUCCCAGCCUACAAAA